UCUCCCUUCCUCGGCCAUUCCCUUGAAAUCAGUUCCACCGGUAUCACAAGCUUUCCCUUCCUCAGCCAUUCCCUUGACAUCAGUUCCACAAGUAUCACAAGCUCUCCCUUCCUCAGCCAUUCCCUUGAGGUCAGUUCCAACACUACCACAAGCUCUCCCUUCCUUGAACAUUCCCUUGAGGUCAGUUCCAACACUACCACAAGCUCUCCCUUCCUUGAACAUUCCCUUGAGGUCAGUUCCAAUACUACCACAAGCUCUCCCUUCCUUGAACAUUCCCUUGAGGUCAGUUCCAACACUACCAAAAGCUCUCCCUUCCUUGAACAUUCCCUUGAGGUCAGUUCCAACACUACCACAAGCUCUCCCUUCCUUGAACAUUCCCUUGAGGUCAGUUCCAACACUACCACAAGCUCUCCCUUCCUCAGACAUUCCCUUGAGGUCAGUUCCAACACUACCACAAGCUCUCCCUUCCUUGAACAUUCCCUUGAGGUCAGUUCCAACACUACCACAAGCUCUCCCUUCCUUGAACAUUCCCUUGAGGUCAGUUCCAACACUAUCACAAGCUCUCCCUUCCUUGAACAUUCCCUUGAGGUCAGUUCCAACACUACCACAAGCUCUCCCUUCCUUGAACAUUCCCUUGAGGUCAGUUCCAACACUAUCACAAGCUCUCCCUUCCUUGAACAUUCCCUUGAGGUCAGUUCCAACACUAUCAAAAGCUCUCCCUUCCUCAGCCAUUCC
Molecule: long non-coding RNA, 735 nt
Organism: Eriocheir sinensis (Chinese mitten crab)
Lineage: Eukaryota; Metazoa; Arthropoda; Malacostraca; Decapoda; Varunidae
Exons: 4
Source: RefSeq, a predicted model, not a curated record